AUUGAACGCUGGCGGCAUGCCUUACACAUGCAGGUCGAACGGCAGCAUGGAGAGCUUGCUCUCUGAUGGCGAGUGGCGAACGGGUGAGUAAAGCAUCGGAACGUACCGUGUAGUGGGGGAUAACGUAGCGAAAGUUACGCUAAUACCGCAUACGCACCGAGGUGGAAAGCAGGGGAUCGUAAGACCUUGCGCUAUACGAGCGGCCGAUGUCAGAUUAGCUAGUUGGUAGGGUAAAGGCCUACCAAGGCGACGAUCUGUAGCGGGUCUGAGAGGAUGAUCCGCCACACUGGGACGGAGACACGGCCCAGACUCCUACGGGAGGCAGCAGUGGGGAAUUUUGGACAAUGGGGGCAACCCUGAUCCAGCCAUGCCGCGUGAGUGAAGAAGGCCUUCGGGUUGUAAAGCUCUUUCGGCCGGGAAGAAAUCGCACAGGCUAAUACCCUGUGUGGAUGACGGUACCGGCAUAAGAAGCACCGGCUAACUACGUGCCAGCCGCCGCAGUAA
Molecule: ribosomal RNA, 504 nt
Filed under: uncultured bacterium
Lineage: Bacteria
Description: partial 16S ribosomal RNA
Rfam family: Bacterial small subunit ribosomal RNA
Source: RNAcentral